UGGGAAGUAUUGCAUCAAUGGGAACCGGAGCUGCAGCAACGCCGCGUGAGUGAUGAAGGCCUUCGGGUUGUAAAGCUCUGUCUUCAGGGACGAUAAUGACGGUACCUGAGGAGGAAGCCACGGCUAACUACGUGCCAGCAGCCGCGGUAAUACGUAGGUGGCAAGCGUUGUCCGGAUUUACUGGGCGUAAAGGGAGCGUAGGCGGAUACUUAAGUGGGAUGUGAAAUACCCGGGCUCAACUCGGGUGCUGCAUUCCAAACUGGGUGUCUAGAGUGCAGGAGAGGAAAGUGGAAUUCCUAGUGUAGCGGUGAAAUGCGUAGAGAUUAGGAA
This 330-nucleotide ribosomal RNA is filed under the name uncultured Clostridium sp. RNAcentral's name for it is "bacterial SSU rRNA". It matches the Rfam family "Bacterial small subunit ribosomal RNA", at positions 355 to 703 of the family's 1533-position model. The record is from RNAcentral. Lineage: Bacteria; Bacillati; Bacillota; Clostridia; Eubacteriales; Clostridiaceae.